UACGUAGGGGGCUAGCGUUGUCCGGAAUCAUUGGGCGUAAAGAGCGUGUAGGCGGCCCGGUAAGUCCGCUGUGAAAGUCGGGGGCUCAACCCUCGAAUGCCGGUGGAUACUGUCGGGCUAGAGUGCGGAAGAGGCGAGUGGAAUUCCUGGUAUAGCGGUGAAAUGCGCAGAUAUCAGGAGGAACACCGAUUGCGAAGGCAGCUCGCUGGGACGUCACUGACGCUGAGACGCGAAAGCGUGGGGAGCAAACAGG
Molecule: ribosomal RNA, 253 nt
Filed under: uncultured bacterium
Lineage: Bacteria
Description: partial 16S ribosomal RNA
Rfam family: Bacterial small subunit ribosomal RNA
Source: RNAcentral